Molecule: ribosomal RNA, 671 nt
Filed under: Puntius mahecola
Lineage: Eukaryota; Metazoa; Chordata; Actinopteri; Cypriniformes; Cyprinidae
Description: partial large subunit ribosomal RNA
Rfam family: Bacterial large subunit ribosomal RNA
Source: RNAcentral
CCGCCUUCGGAAUUAGAUGGCAUCCGUCCUGCCUGCCCAAUGACCACAAGUUCAACGGCCGCGGUACCCUGACCGUGCAAAGGUAGCGCAAUCACUUGUCUUUUAAAUAAAGACCUGUAUGAAUGGCCAAACGAGGGCUUAACUGUCUCCCCUUUCAAGUCAGUGAAAUUGAUCUGCCCGUGCAGAAGCGGACAUAAUAAUACAAGACGAGAAGACCCUAUGGAGCUUAAGGCAUAAAACUCAACCACGCCAAAAACUCCGCAAAAGUUAACAAGCCCAGUGAUAAAUGAGACCAUGCCUUCGGUUGGGGCGACCAUGGAGGAAAAUAAAGCCUCCAGGAGGAAUGGGGUUAAACCCUUAAACCAAGAGACACAUCUCUAAGCUUCAGAACAUCUGACCAUAAAUGAUCCGGCCAACCAAGACCGAUCAACGAACCAAGUUACCCUAGGGAUAACAGCGCAAUCCUCUCUGAGAGUUCGUAUCGACGAGGGGGUUUACGACCUCGAUGUUGGAUCACGACAUCCUAAUGGUGCAGCAGCUAUAAGGGGUUCGUUUGUUCAACGAUUAAAGUCCUACGUGAUCUGAUUUCAGACCAGGAUUGUUCUCUGUUUAUCAAAACAUAUUACGUGAUCCUGAAGUUACGAACAGGGGGGGGUGUUUACCAGACAGUG